GAUGAACGCUGGCGGCGUGCCUAAUACAUGCAAGUCGAACGAGGUGCUCUUGUAGCAAUACGAGGGUAUCCUAGUGGCGAACGGGUGAGUAACGCGUUGGUGACCUGCCCCAAAGUGUGGGAUAACAGUCCGAAAGGAUUGCUAAUACCGCAUGUGGUCUUCGGGAUUAGAAUCCGAUGACUAAAGCAGUAAUGCGCUUUGGGAGGGACCUGCGUCCCAUCAGCUAGUUGGUGAGGUAAUGGCCCACCAAGGCUUCGACGGGUAGGGGACCUGAGAGGGUGGUCCCCCACACUGGCACUGAAACACGGGCCAGACACCUACGGGAGGCUG
This 330-nucleotide ribosomal RNA is filed under the name uncultured Chloroflexota bacterium. RNAcentral describes it as "bacterial SSU rRNA". It matches the Rfam family "Bacterial small subunit ribosomal RNA", at positions 28 to 351 of the family's 1533-position model. The record is from RNAcentral. Lineage: Bacteria; Bacillati; Chloroflexota.